Molecule: small RNA, 28 nt
Filed under: Bombyx mori (domestic silkworm)
Lineage: Eukaryota; Metazoa; Arthropoda; Insecta; Lepidoptera; Bombycidae
Description: ovarian small RNA-27060
Source: RNAcentral
UCCAUUAGAACACCUAGGUCACGAAUGC